AGAGUUUGAUUAUGGCUCAGGAUGAACGCUGGCGGCGUGCUUAACACAUGCAAGUCGAACGAGGUCCAACCUUCGGGUGAAGACCGAGUGGCGAACGGGUGAGUAACACGUGGGGAACCUGCCCUUCUCUCUGGGAUAACCUCGGGAAACCGAAGCUAAUACCGGAUACUCCUUGCGGACCGCAUGGUCUGCUCGGGAAAGCUCCGGCGGAGAAGGAUGGCCCCGCGGCCCAUUAGCUUGUUGGUGGGGUAACGGCCCACCAAGGCGACGAUGGGUAGCCGAGCUGAGAGGCUGAUCGGCCACACUGGGACUGAGACACGGCCCAGACUCCUACGGGAGGCAGCAGUGGGGAAUCUUGCGCAAUGGGCGAAAGCCUGACGCAGCAACGCCGCGUGCGGGAUGAAGGCUCUCGGGUCGUAAACCGCUUUCAGCAGGGAUGAAAAUGACAGUACCUGCAGAAGAAGCCCCGGCCAAAUACGUGCCAGCAGCCGCGGUAAUACGUAUGGGGCAAGCGUUAUCCGGAUUCAUUGGGCGUAAAGCGCGCGUAGGCGGCUUGUUAAGUCAGGCGUGAAAUCCGGGGGCUCAACCCGCGGCUUGCGUCUGAAACUGGCAGGCUUGAGUCUGGUAGAGGAAAGUGGAAUUCCUGGUGUAGCGGUGAAAUGCGCAGAUAUCAGGAGGAACACCAGUGGCGAAGGCGGCUUUCUGGGCCACGACUGACGCUGAGACGCGAAGGUGCGGGGAGCAAACAGGAUUAGAUACCCUGGUAGUC
Molecule: ribosomal RNA, 769 nt
Filed under: uncultured Actinomycetes bacterium
Lineage: Bacteria; Bacillati; Actinomycetota; Actinomycetes
Description: bacterial SSU rRNA
Rfam family: Bacterial small subunit ribosomal RNA
Source: RNAcentral